This is a small nuclear RNA of Gracilinanus agilis (Agile Gracile Mouse Opossum), 107 nucleotides long. The record is from RefSeq and is a predicted model, not a curated record. NCBI's taxonomy places the organism in Eukaryota, Metazoa, Chordata, Mammalia, Didelphimorphia, Didelphidae.
GUGUUUACUUCAGCAACACAUGCACUAAAAUUGGAACAAUGCAGAGAAGAUCAGUAUGGUCCCUGAGCAAGGAUGACAUGAAAAUUUGUGAAGUAUUCCCUAAUCUG